UAAACCAGUGAAGACACUUGGUGGCAGAUGAGUGGUGGGUGGUGAAUAAUAUGUGUCUGGAAGCUUGAGGUCCAA
RNAcentral lists this small nucleolar RNA (75 nucleotides) under Catagonus wagneri (Chacoan peccary). RNAcentral's name for it is "Small nucleolar RNA SNORD113/SNORD114 family (ENSCWAG00000005083.1)". It matches the Rfam family "Small nucleolar RNA SNORD113/SNORD114 family". From Rfam's summary of the family: The imprinted human domain at 14q32 contains two clusters of tandemly repeated small nucleolar RNAs named 14q(I) and 14q(II) snoRNAs. These two clusters are named SNORD113 and SNORD114 respectively in the HGNC approved gene symbol nomenclature. The record is from Rfam by way of RNAcentral. Lineage: Eukaryota; Metazoa; Chordata; Mammalia; Artiodactyla; Tayassuidae.